CAGGGCUGAAGCUGAGUGCUGAUCAGCUGGCCCUGGUCUAUGGCACGCUGGGGCUCUGCCUGUGUGCCGUUGUCUGCUGCUUCCUAGUGGCGGUGGCCUGCUUCCUCAAGAAGGGGAUCCCUGCUCCUGCCAGCCUCACACAAGGCCCUGUCAAAGUCUGGCCAAGUCUUCCCAGGUGAUACAGAGCUGCCCCCCGUCAGUGUUCUGGAGGUGAAGGUAAGAGCCUGUGCCUGCUGCAUGGGAGGCUGGUCCAGGGACAGGGAAUUGGGCAGGUGAGGCAGUGGGGGUGGUCCACGGGCCUGGGUGGUGGUGGGCCACAGCUAUCCUGGGAGGGGCAGCCAUUCCUGCUGGACUCUGUCCUCUGAGGGUUUCACCAAAACCCAAACUAAGAACUGCUGGUCCAGAGGUCACUGCCUGUUUGCACCAAGUCCCGAGCCGAAGCCUGGGACUGACCAAAACUCAAGGCGUUUGUGUCCUGAAGAUGGUAUGUCCUGGCAUCACCAGUCCAGACUGCCAGCUCUGGUUAGUUCAGAGGGUCUCAGCCCCUGGGGUCUGCCCUUUCCUGGCUCCUUCCCGUUGGAUCCCUUCAGGGCCCUGAAGCCCAGGACCCAGCAUCCACAGGCCACUACCAGAAGCCUGACAGCUCCGCUAACUCCAUCAUGGCCCAUUUCACAGCAAAGAUGUCAGAAACUAAAACUAAGAAGUGGCUGAAGAUGCUCAGAGACUGGCCAAAAUACAGAACAAGCGAGAAGCUUACUCACAGAGUGUACAAAGGCAUUACCCCGGUGGUGUGGGGCUGGGCGUGGUCACUCCUGCUAAACAUUGACAAAGUGAAGGCUGAGAACCAAGGGAAAUACAAGGUCAUGAAGGAGAAGGGCAAGAGUUCCUCCAGGAUCAUCCGCCGCAUCAAGCUAGAUGUCAAGCACACCCUCCAGAACCAUGAGAUGUUCAUAGAAGGACUAUAGGGGCUUCAGCAGGAAUUAUGUGAUAUUCUCAUGGCCUACUCUGCAUAUAACCCUGAGAUGUGCUACCACAGGGACCUCAGGUGCAUCACUGCAAUCCUCCUCCUGUGCCUGCCAGAGGAAGAUGCUUUCUAGCCACUGGAAUGGGCUCUGACAGGGUGAUGGGUCGGUGGCUUUUCAGUAUUCUACAGCCCAAAUACAGCCCCACUGCAGAGGCUCUUAUCGCACCAGGAGCAGGUGUUGCACAAGUCUUUCCCGAAAAUUAUGAGACACCUGGGCAAGGAAGGGCUGUGCAUUGAGGGUUCCAUGCUGACGAGGCUCCUCCAGUGUUUCAUUGAUGGGAAACUCUUCAGGCUCACCCUGCGACUGUGGAUGUGCUCAUCUUGGAGGGCAAGCCGGUACUGAUGGCCAUGGCACAUGCAUCAUUCAAAAUACACAGGAAGCACCUCAUGAAGCUUUCCUGGAACAUCAUCCCGGAGUUUCAGGAGAGGCUCUCUCAGAGCUCGGCCCUGGAGGACAAUGCCAUCCUCAGGAACCUUCAAGCCUCCAUGAAGGAACUCACAAGGACACACUGGGACCUGCCACCCCCAGAACUCGAGUGAGGAUCCUCGAGGGUGUCCCCUGGCAUUGGGCCCCUCUGUGAGGGGGAUAGUCUGGCCCUCCUCACCCCACCAACUCAGCUCCAGGGACUCAUGCCAUCAGCCUCCAUGUGACAAAAGCCUUGACCUCCCCCAGCCUCACCUGAUGGGGCUGCCCCAAGGUUGAGGCCAAGGCCCCUUAGCACAAAGGGGCUUCCCCAGAACCCAGGGCCAGGCUGCUCUCUGGGUGGCCCAGAGGAUCAAGAUGCAGCAAGCUUGUUUCCUGGUGAGGUCAGAACUUGUAUUACACGAAAAUACCUGUGCUGGAACUCUAUGCCACGCCUCCACACAGACCUGGGUGCUGGCGGUCCAUGGUUUCCCUACUACAAUUUUGAACAGGGCUACUGGGCCCCUGUCGCUUCAACCUCUUACCUGGACAGCCCUGGAACCACAGGACAGGCCUGGCCCAGCAAGCCCACUGGGACCCUGACACCAGGCCCUGCCUGGGCUUAUGACAGAGGAGACAGCUCAAGAGACACCCCAGCAAGAAGGUGGAGCCUAUCAGCAAUGCCCCUCGGUAGAAGAACAGGGCAUGGAAGGACCCCAGGUGGCACCUGCGCAGCUGCCUCGCAGCCCCACAUGACUGCUGGACCUUGGUUCUGGACCAUUCAGUUGGGGACUUGGUCCCAUCAAGGCCUCUAGAGGGAAGGCUGAAGGACAGCCAGGAGCAUGCCCUGAGACCUCUGACCUCACCUGUGUGUGAAUCCCAGGUCCAGAGGGGCCUGGCUUCAACCCGAGUCCUAGGAGGAGAAGGGCACCAGAGGCACCACGGGCCCCCACGGUAAACACACAGGGGACCAGGGCACUGCAAGCCCUGAUGCUGUAAGGAUUCACAUCAGAGAACCAGAGCAAGCCAGGAGACUGUGCAGUAACGGGGAUGUGGAGGGCUGGCUCAAGGGGGUUAACAGCUGUGAACACUGCAGCCUCUUCCCAGCCUUUUCACUGCAGUGCAGGCAGUCUGAUCCCUGGAGCCCAGCCCAAAAGCACCCUGAGUGCCCUGGCUUGAUAUGCCAACAUGCCACCUGGAGGCUUUGAGACCCCGUCUGCUGCAUAUCCACCUCACCACUGCUGAUUGCCCCAUCUGCUGAGAGACUUGGUAUGGAUUCCUGGGCUGGCACCAUUUCCCAGGAGGACCAGCUGGCUGCCUGUGGGCAGGACACUGUGGAGGGGGCUGAGAUUGGCCUUCACUGCAGGAAGCCCCUACCUGGACAUAGACUUGCCGGCCCUACCUGUCACCAUCACAGCAGCCUACAUGGCAUUGCUGCCGACCAGGGAGCCCCAUCCAGGCCAGUCUGCCCUGGCUGCUGUUUUCCCUCCUGUCACCCUCUGUUUGACUGCUUGUGUCAAUAAAAGAACUGGCCAGUUUCAGAAGAAAAUGUGUCUUUAUUAUGAUAUAGGGGAGACUACAAAGCAUUAGGGGAUGAGGAGGAGGAGUCACACAUCUCGUAAUGAGAGGGGAAAGGAAAGGGUAAACAUCUUGGUAAAUAAAGUCUCCAACUACA
Molecule: non-coding RNA, 3102 nt
Organism: Callithrix jacchus (white-tufted-ear marmoset)
Lineage: Eukaryota; Metazoa; Chordata; Mammalia; Primates; Cebidae
Source: RefSeq, a predicted model, not a curated record